RNAcentral lists this ribosomal RNA (398 nucleotides) under uncultured bacterium. Its description in RNAcentral is "bacterial SSU rRNA". It matches the Rfam family "Bacterial small subunit ribosomal RNA", at positions 521 to 916 of the family's 1533-position model. The record is from RNAcentral.
UAAUACGUAGGGUGCAAGCGUUGUCCGGAAUUAUUGGGCGUAAAGAGCUCGUAGGCGGCUUGUCGCGUCUGCUGUGAAAACCCGGGGCUCAACCCCGGGCCUGCAGUGGGUACGGGCAGGCUAGAGUGCGGUAGGGGAGAUUGGAAUUCCUGGUGUAGCGGUGGAAUGCGCAGAUAUCAGGAGGAACACCGAUGGCGAAGGCAGAUCUCUGGGCCGUAACUGACGCUGAGGAGCGAAAGCAUGGGGAGCGAACAGGAUUAGAUACCCUGGUAGUCCAUGCCGUAAACGUUGGGAACUAGAUGUAGGGCCUGUUCCACGGGUUCUGUGUCGUAGCUAACGCAUUAAGUUCCCCGCCUGGGGAGUACGGCCGCAAGGCUAAAACUUAAAGGAAUUGACGG